AUGUUUUCAUGUGUGAUGGGCGACUAAGGGGAACUGUGGACGCUGUUUGUCAGGGAGUGGCAGGAUGAUACUGCAUUAGCCACUGGCUGCAGCCCAAGAAACUCCACACCGAAAUCAAUUUGGGCACUUGAAAAAAACAGAAUGCCCUGCCACCAUCCUUGCCUACACUUCGUCUGCCAAGCGUACGGAGACAUGCAUCUUCAGCCAUUAUGCACCACAUAUUCUGUGAAUAUUAAAAAGAGACAUUGAUUCUGGAGCAACCUGUUGCUUUGGCUCAAUGGACUUCAUAAAGAGAAGAUGCCAUAUUUCAAGGGGAAAUGAAGCAGUCAAUCAAGUUUACAUGAUUUACAAGAUG
This is a non-coding RNA of Pimephales promelas (fathead minnow), 355 nucleotides long. The record is from RefSeq and is a predicted model, not a curated record. Lineage: Eukaryota; Metazoa; Chordata; Actinopteri; Cypriniformes; Leuciscidae.